CCUACGGGCGGCUGCAGUGAGGAAUAUUGGUCAAUGGACGAGAGUCUGAACCAGCCAAGUAGCGUGAAGGAUGACUGCUCUAUGGGUUGUAAACUUCUUUUAUACAGGAAUAAAACGAGGCACGUGUGCCUUUUUGCAUGUACUUUAUGAAUAAGGAUCGGCUAACUCCGUGCCAGCAGCCGCGGUAAUACGGAGGAUCCGAGCGUUAUCCGGAUUUAUUGGGUUUAAAGGGUGCGUAGAUGGGUUGUUAAGUUAGUGGUGAAAGUUUGCGGCUCAACCGUGAAAUUGCAAUUGAUACUGGCCGUCUUGAGUGCAGUUGAGGUAGGCGGAAUUCGUGGUGUAGCGGUGAAAUGCUUAGAUAUCACGAAGAACCCCGAUUGCGAAGGCAGCUUACUAAGCUGUGACUGACGUUGAGGCUCGAAAGUGUGGGUAGCAAACAGGAUUAGAUACCCCAGUAGUC
Molecule: ribosomal RNA, 460 nt
Filed under: uncultured bacterium
Lineage: Bacteria
Description: partial 16S ribosomal RNA
Rfam family: Bacterial small subunit ribosomal RNA
Source: RNAcentral